UAAGCCUGCGAAGGUGGCCUGUGAGGGUUGCUGGAGGUAUCAGAAGUGCGAAUGCUGACAUAAGUAACGAUAAAGCGGGUGAAAAGCCCGCUCGCCGGAAGACCAAGGGUUCCUGUCCAACGUUAAUCGGGGCAGGGUGAGUCGACCCCUAAGGCGAGGCCGAAAGGCGUAGUCGAUGGGAAACGGGUUAAUAUUCCCGUACUUGGUGUUACUGCGAAGGGGGGACGGAGAAGGCUAUGUUGGCCGGGCGACGGUUGUCCCGGUUUAAGCGUGUAGGUGUGUGUUCCAGGUAAAUCCGGUUCACUUUAACACUGAGGCGUGACGA
RNAcentral lists this ribosomal RNA (325 nucleotides) under Salmonella enterica subsp. enterica. RNAcentral's name for it is "partial 23S ribosomal RNA". It matches the Rfam family "Bacterial large subunit ribosomal RNA", at positions 1243 to 1569 of the family's 2925-position model. The record is from RNAcentral. RNAcentral also lists the same sequence under 1 other name. Lineage: Bacteria; Pseudomonadati; Pseudomonadota; Gammaproteobacteria; Enterobacterales; Enterobacteriaceae.